UAUAUGGUCAUACAAAUUUAUGAGGCAAAUUCAUUUGAACAGAUGUAAAAUUUUUCCCAGAUAAUAUUUAAGUGGUAAAAACACAUUGGCAUUGAGUGUGAAGUAAGAUUCUAUGUUUUAAAUUAAAAAUAAAUAUUUACACAAUUUCAUUUGCAAAGGAAAAGAGCUGAAAUAUUCUGAAUUGUAGGUAGUAGUUAUAACUGAAGGGUGGGCCUAUGGGUUUUUAAAAAAACUUUCAUUUUUGCAUUUACUUAUGACCUGAAAUUCUGGGUGUUUUUAGUUGAAACUUCCUGAUGUGUAUUAUGUUUUAUAAUGAGAAAAACUGUGAUAGAUUUAAAUGAAAGUAAACAUUAAAAUUAAAAUCCUAGAAAUAAUUGGGUAUAUUUCUCCACUAAUUUUUAUCCAAUACAAACUUUUUCUUCCUUUAAAGUGGAUUCUCCAGGAAGAUUAUAACCCACCACCAUUCUGGAUCUUCCUUUCAAGUAGCCCUGAAGAUCCAAUCAACUGGGCUCUAAAUCUUUUCUAAUGAACCUCCUCACCGGCAAGGGGCUGGCCUUACCCUCCUUUUGUAACAGCCGGACUCCCGCCCUACCACUGGCUUUGGAUGCUCCAGCCUCUGCCUCACGGGGACGCCGCCUCCAUAGAUGUGGGCACAGGAGGGCCUCAACCCCAGAUCUGAAACCCCAGGUCUAUGCAAACCCAAGGCCUUCCAGGACCUCCGUUCCAGGACAAUGAGGCUCCUCCAUGUCUUCCUCACCGCUCUCUUGAUCCUCUUCCAGACAGCACUAGGGUGCUCAAUUUUGAAAGACCCUGCCAUCUUCGGGGUGGAAUCUGCCUGAAGCAAGGGAUGCCGAGCUGUGAGCCCUUCAGAGGACCCUGCGGGCAUCCACCGUUUGCUGCAAAAUAAAGUCGAGCUGAUGGAGGCAGCCCAGCUGAGGAACCCAGCGAGAGACCAUGAGCAGGUCUCCUCUUGUGCAAAUAAAAGCAGACAGUUCUC
RNAcentral lists this long non-coding RNA (997 nucleotides) under Bos indicus x Bos taurus (hybrid cattle). RNAcentral describes it as "lncRNA (ENSBIXG00005006962.1)". Lineage: Eukaryota; Metazoa; Chordata; Mammalia; Artiodactyla; Bovidae. The record is from RNAcentral.